Molecule: ribosomal RNA, 254 nt
Filed under: uncultured bacterium
Lineage: Bacteria
Description: partial 16S ribosomal RNA
Rfam family: Bacterial small subunit ribosomal RNA
Source: RNAcentral
AACGAACCGUGCGAACGUUAUUCGGAAUCACUGGGCUUAAAGCGCGUGUAGGCGGGACGGCACGUCGGUCGCUGAAAUCCCCCGGCUCAACCGGGGAACGGGCGCCGAUACGACCGCCCUGGAGGGACGUAGGGGGACCUGGAACUUCCGGUGGAGCGGUGAAAUGCGUUGAGAUCGGAAGGAACGCCCGUGGCGAAAGCGAGGUCCUGGACGUUUACUGACGCUGAGACGCGAAAGCCAGGGGAGCGAACGGG